GCCGGGGUGGCGGAACUGGCAGACGCACAGGACUUAAAAUCCUGCGAAGGGUAACCUUCGUACCGGUUCGAUUCCGGUCCUCGGCAUCA
RNAcentral lists this transfer RNA (89 nucleotides) under Streptococcus cuniculipharyngis. Its description in RNAcentral is "Streptococcus pharyngis tRNA-Leu". It matches the Rfam family "tRNA". From Rfam's summary of the family: Transfer RNA (tRNA) molecules are approximately 80 nucleotides in length. Their secondary structure includes four short double-helical elements and three loops (D, anti-codon, and T loops). The record is from RNAcentral. Lineage: Bacteria; Bacillati; Bacillota; Bacilli; Lactobacillales; Streptococcaceae. RNAcentral also lists the same sequence under 1 other name.